AGCUCCAAGAGCGUAUAUUAAAGUUGCUGCGGUUAAAAAGCUCGUAGUUGGAUUUCAGUCUAGGAAGGUUAACUCGCCGAAAGGUUGUACGUUGAUUUUCCUCAGACUUCGUCAGAAGCUCGUGCUGCACUUAACUGUGUGGUACGAUGUUCUGACCUUUUACCUUGAGGAAAGUAGAGUGUUUCAGGCAGGCUACCCAGCUUGAAUACAUUAGCAUGGAAUAAUGAAAUGGAUCUCGGUUCGAUUUCGUUGGUUCUAGAGCUGAGGUGAUGAUCAAUAGGAACAGGCGAAGGUAUUCGUACUUGAGAGUGAGGAGUGAAAUCCGAUGAUCUCUUAAAGACGAUCCGAGGCGAAAGCAUUUGUCAAGGAUGUUUUCAUUG
RNAcentral lists this ribosomal RNA (380 nucleotides) under Bispinodinium sp. RNAcentral describes it as "partial small subunit ribosomal RNA". It matches the Rfam family "Eukaryotic small subunit ribosomal RNA", at positions 587 to 975 of the family's 1831-position model. The record is from RNAcentral. RNAcentral also lists the same sequence under 1 other name. Lineage: Eukaryota; Dinophyceae.